RNAcentral lists this microRNA (23 nucleotides) under Haemonchus contortus (barber pole worm). RNAcentral's name for it is "hco-miR-5982". Lineage: Eukaryota; Metazoa; Nematoda; Chromadorea; Rhabditida; Trichostrongylidae. The record is from miRBase by way of RNAcentral.
AGCUCCUCAGGAGUUGGUAGGUA